RNAcentral lists this ribosomal RNA (372 nucleotides) under Triticum aestivum (bread wheat). RNAcentral's name for it is "partial small subunit ribosomal RNA". The record is from RNAcentral. Lineage: Eukaryota; Viridiplantae; Streptophyta; Magnoliopsida; Poales; Poaceae.
AUGGACGUGGUCCUGACUGCGGUGGAUUUUAGUCUUGUUUCCUUCUUUGCAACGACCAUGCUGCUACCCCUCUUUGCUAACAUGUGUUCUGUUUUUGCAGAUUGGUGUGAAGUGAGCACACAUUUGUUGAUCGUUAGUCUACCGCUUGCUUCCUGUUCUCUUCAUUACUUCCUUCCUGCCGUACCACUGGAUCGCGACAGUUAUUGGAAGAUGAUGAACAAGUACAUAGGAUCAGAUGUAAUGUCAGUUAUUACACUUCUAAUCAUCAUCUUUGAGCUUUUGGGAAAAUGGCAGAGAUGGACUAUGCCCUUAAGUUUCCCUCUAUACCACGCUGGAACGUCUAGACCACAAGAGGAACAUAAAACAUUUUGA